UACGUAGGGUGCGAGCGUUAAUCGGAAUUACUGGGCGUAAAGCGUGCGCAGGCGGCGAUGUAAGUCAGUUGUGAAAUCCCCGGGCUCAACCUGGGAAUUGCAUCUGUGACUGCAUCGCUAGAGUACGGUAGAGGGGGAUGGAAUUCCGCGUGUAGCAGUGAAAUGCGUAGAUAUGCGGAGGAACACCGAUGGCGAAGGCAAUCCCCUGGACCUGUACUGACGCUCAUGCACGAAAGCGUGGGGAGCAAACAGG
RNAcentral lists this ribosomal RNA (253 nucleotides) under uncultured bacterium. RNAcentral describes it as "partial 16S ribosomal RNA". It matches the Rfam family "Bacterial small subunit ribosomal RNA", at positions 524 to 776 of the family's 1533-position model. The record is from RNAcentral.